UUUUUUUUUAGAGGUUGGUUCAGACUUAUGAUUUGUUUUAUUUCCUAAACAACUGGCUCCUCUUUCUCUAAGGAGAAAAUAGAUGCCCUCAUAGGAUGCUUUUAGGAUGUUUUGGAGGAAUUUACAAAGCUAUGAAGUUUGGUAAUAAUGUAUGGUUAUUUAUUAAAAGAUGCCCUCAGUCUUUUAAUAAAUAACCAUACAUUAUUAC
This 208-nucleotide unclassified non-coding RNA is filed under the name Hevea brasiliensis (rubber tree). Lineage: Eukaryota; Viridiplantae; Streptophyta; Magnoliopsida; Malpighiales; Euphorbiaceae. The record is from RNAcentral.